UACGCACAAAUGACAAAUUGCCAUGUGGAUGUGUUGCUUUUAUGCCUUUCGACCCCACCAAUGAGCCUUGGGUGGAUUUUACCAAAACGCCCCCUUACUUACUUUGCAACUUCUGAUUAACCUUCCCUCUAAUUAAUCACCUCCCCUUAAAUUAUCACCUUCCCUCUAAUUUAUUUACAAAAAAAAAUAGGAGCUUGCUUCGUGGAUCUGUUUCGACUUUGCUCAUCUCCUUCACGACACAAUCAAAAGUUCUUCAAAUUCAAACCCAGCUUCGUGGAUCUGCUUCUUCUUCAACCCCAGCAUUUUCGAGCUCGGUUCCUCGGUUACGGAUCUCUCGCUAUUACAGGUUGUGCCAGCGUAGAGCUUUAGAGAAUGAGUAGGGCAAUCGUCAAAAUACCAGGUUUGAUUUGCUUUGUGAAACUAGAGGAUCAUGGGGUGAGUAUAUCGUCUUAUUUUGGAGGGGUGAAGUAGCUGAUUGGCCAUCCGAAGAAUACAUUGCAAGUUUGAUCAAGGUGACUGUUACUUGGUAGGAGGAUGUGAUUUUAAGACAAGUAUGGUCACUUGUGGGUGUGAUUUAUAUAUCAUUUCAUCUCACUUCAACCUUAGUUUAUGCCUAAUGGCUAACUGCAGUUAGUGCUCGGUUAGUGUAUGUAAAUAAUGUAAAUUGAGGUUGUAAUGUAGUUAUGUAAUUUAGAGUAGCAUAGUUAGAUGGUACGUAUUAGUUUAGUUGGAUUAUGGUACGUAUUAGU
This is a long non-coding RNA of Trifolium pratense (red clover), 749 nucleotides long. RefSeq lists it as uncharacterized. The record is from RefSeq and is a predicted model, not a curated record. NCBI's taxonomy places the organism in Eukaryota, Viridiplantae, Streptophyta, Magnoliopsida, Fabales, Fabaceae. The transcript is spliced from 3 exons.